GCUGAACAACUGCUGAUAUAAGUUUAAUAUUGUUGCUAUGAAGUAUUGAGAUUAAUUCACCGUUUGAUCUGAUUUUAAAAUGGAAGCACUUCGGUUAAUAGCCAAAGGACUUACUGCAGAGGCAAGUAGCAAGCGUCUCAAAGAUUCACAAGAAAAGACGACGGAGAAAGGACAAGAUGAAACGGACAAGGGAGAUAGAAACUUUGAUUCAG
Molecule: long non-coding RNA, 212 nt
Organism: Mercenaria mercenaria
Lineage: Eukaryota; Metazoa; Mollusca; Bivalvia; Venerida; Veneridae
Exons: 3
Source: RefSeq, a predicted model, not a curated record